This 1289-nucleotide long non-coding RNA is filed under the name Rattus norvegicus (Norway rat). RNAcentral describes it as "long non-coding RNA NONRATT028262". The record is from RNAcentral. Lineage: Eukaryota; Metazoa; Chordata; Mammalia; Rodentia; Muridae.
UUCAGAGAGUGUGAGGCUUUGCUUGUCUGGAUUGAAUGGUAUUUUCUGAGCAGGAUGGGAGAGAGAUGCCCUUGGCCCUCAUCCGCCCUGACUUCUUUGAACUUAUCUGUCUUGUCUCUACUUAUUAUUUUGUUGUAAUUUUUUUCUGUUUAAUUAGACAUAGCAGAGUUCCUUACGUAUGGGACUUAGGAGACUACCAUCCAUGCUGUGGUGUCCAAUUGGACAGAGCCUCCUGUUGACACCCCGGCUGCUUCCCCACACCUCUGCUUAGCCAAACUGCAGCUGUCAAUCUUACUGUGAGCUAGGGAAACUUGGAUGAGGAGUCCAUGAGUCGAUAGAUAGGGUAACAUCGUGCCCUGAUGUGCCUCUCAUUCACAUCCGCUCUCUUGCAAGGAACUUGACAGUCACACCCCAAUGCCCUGUAGGAAGGCUUCCUUGUGAGCAGGCACCACAGGAACCCCAUGAUGGCUUAUGCAGAGCUCUCUGGGUGGCUGCGAGAUCUCACAGGCAUCCCCCAGCCACUUUCUGUAUCGGAAGCUCUCAGUUCUGUUCAUUGCUCCCUCUGGCCUCCUUCUGCCCUGGCUCCUGUUGAUGAGCACAGUGCCGUCCCUGAUCAGUUCUUUCUUCCUGUGAAUUUGCUUCGUAGCCCAUCAGGCUGGUAGACUGGCAGCACGGUCAGUGUCACCCGAGGGACAGGACUUCCCUGAAGUGAAGCAGCAAUGUCAUGGAAGCGAACCCCUGUGAGCGAGAGACAGGCCCCGAGGCUGCUGCCACAAGGUCUCAUGUUCAUUGCUGGGGACACUAGCUUCCUACAAACCCCAGGAGACGCUGCCCAUAGCACGGGUGGCCCUUCAGGCUCCUGAACUAUCUAUCCCCAGAUCAGUAGGAUUUGUUUUCCAAGUCCCCUUCCUCAUUCCUUCUUUGCUCAAGAGAAAAAAGAAAAGUGGUAACUCUGUGACUCUAAGUCCCUCUUAAAUGCAGCGCUGAAUCUAGCUUGGCUCGGAGAUCUCUGACUUGUCCCUAGGGUGAGACUGUGGCCUCCCCAGGUUGAGGUGGCACGUGUAUUGUGAGAGAUUAGCCUGGAGAGCAGAGAAGAGGGGGAGGGGGGAUAGGGAGGAGAGAGCAAUCGUGUCUCCCUACAGGACCCUGGGCCAUCUGACAAGACAGAGGAGGUGGGACUGGCUUCCCCAUGCUGCACAUGGCAGUGGGAACCAGGCUUGGAGUCCCCCACCCCCUCCUUAACCUCUUCUCUCAGACCUUGUAGCCCUAGCUUGCCCUGUGCUCUGCAG